Tetranychus urticae (two-spotted spider mite) is the source of this 1587-nucleotide non-coding RNA. Lineage: Eukaryota; Metazoa; Arthropoda; Arachnida; Trombidiformes; Tetranychidae. The record is from RefSeq and is a predicted model, not a curated record.
UGGCGGUUAACAGCUGGUUAACCGUUAACCCGCGAACUUGCCUAAAAAGGUUUCCAUCAAAGGUUAAUUAUUUAUUGUGAUUUUAUUUUGUUGAUUAGUUAGUAAAUUUAUAAUCUAGUCUUACAAAUUUCCUCUAUUAUUUGCGAAAUAAAGUGUCUUUUAUCCAUUUCAUAUCAUUGUUUGCAUCAUCAAUUGGAGGCUGGAGCUCGACACACCUUCUAAUAUGGUCGUUAAAACGUGUAGUUUUUCAAUAUCAUAAUUAACCAUCAUCAUCAUCAUCAUGUUCAUCAAGAUUAGCGGGAUAGCAACAAAGAAAGAGAGAACGAGAAGAGACGGAUAAAAAGCCUUAGGAACUAAUUAUCAAAUAGAUUUUUACCAGCAAUCUAGAAUUCUUCCGGAUUUAUGGCAAAAUAAAUAUGAUGAUUUUGAUAAAAUAUGACGAUAAAUGGAUGCCAAGCCUCCAAUAAAAGAAAGGUCCAUAGAAUAAUGAUUUACUUUAUCAGUACAAAGAUUGGGAAACUUGUUACAGUUAAUUCAAGAUGUUCUGGAUCUAAAAAGGCUGUUAACUAGUUUCAUGUUAACUUUUUAUCUGCAAGGUGAAUCAGUAACCGAUUGAAUCUUUGCAACUGAAAUGGGUUAAAUUGCUAUUGCAAUUGCGUGUGUGUGAACCUUGACUAUUGGCUCAUAAUUCACAUGGAGGUGAUCAGAUGAACUCAACUUUCACUUGAUUUUUAUCUUGGCUUAACCAAUUGUUACAUUAUUGUAACUCUUUUAUCACAGUUGUUUGGGAUUAACAGCAGUUAAAAAUGGCAUAGGAAUCAAACUGCUAUUAAGAAGGUGAUUUAAUUGCAGAAGAAGAAAAGAGACAUUCAUUGAUCUCGUGUUUACCAGCUAAUAGUUUUAUUAUUAAUCAAACAUGGCAUUUCAUCAUCUACGAAUGAUGAAUCUCAACAAAUAUACAAUCUUCGAAAGUUAAAUGGUCGAACUAUGCCAAUUAAUCAUUUGCAGUAGCUGUAGUUUCAAAUGUAUUGUAUGAAUGUCUGAAUCAGCUUUUAAACAAUCAAAUGCAUCAAAAAUUGAGCCGAGUUUUUCGUUGGUGAAAGUCUAAUUGCAUUCAAAUUGAUCCGGAGGAUUGUUGUAACAUGAAAUUUCAAAUGAUAUUGAUAGUUUGCCCUUUGAUUUACCAAACUAUUGUAAAUACUGUAACUGGAACAUUGGAUAACAAUUUAAAAUGAAAGUGAAAAGAAUGUUACAGUGUCUUGGAAUCAUCAUCAGCAGUUAUUGUUGAUUAGGUGAAUCUACGGGAGAGAAAAUUGAAUAACUAAAAUCAUCAAUUGGUUUAUAUUUGACCGAUCCAGGAGGAGAGGUAAUUUCAUUAACAUUAAUAGACAGCAUUGACAGCAUGUAUCUUUUCAAGUACCUUUAGCUGAUUAAGGCCAAUCAUAAAGAUGAUUUAACAAUUUGACAUUAUUACAGUUGGCUGUUACAACUGGUGAAGACCAUUUUUAGGACCUAGGCCCAAGCUAAUCAAUAACCGAGUCAAACCUUGCCAGAGAAAGGUUUUAACCCUUGAUUGUUGACAGACAA